This 619-nucleotide ribosomal RNA is filed under the name uncultured bacterium. RNAcentral's name for it is "bacterial SSU rRNA". It matches the Rfam family "Bacterial small subunit ribosomal RNA", at positions 218 to 834 of the family's 1533-position model. The record is from RNAcentral.
GUAGACGAUGGGGAUGCGUUCCAUUAGAUAGUAGGCGGGGUAACGGCCCACCUAGUCUUCGAUGGAUAGGGGUUCUGAGAGGAAGGUCCCCCACAUCGGAACUGAGACACGGUCCAAACUCCUACGGGAGGCAGCAGUGAGGAAUAUUGGUCAAUGGGCGAGAGCCUGAACCAGCCAAGUAGCGUGAAGGAUGACUGCCCUAUGGGUUGUAAACUUCUUUUAUAAAGGAAUAAAGUCGGGUAUGCAUACCCGUUUGCAUGUACUUUAUGAAUAAGGAUCGGCUAACUCCGUGCCAGCAGCCGCGGUAAUACGGAGGAUCCGAGCGUUAUCCGGAUUUAUUGGGUUUAAAGGGAGCGUAGAUGGAUGUUUAAGUCAGUUGUGAAAGUUUGCGGCUCAACCGUAAAAUUGCAGUUGAUACUGGAUAUCUUGAGUGCAGUUGAGGCAGGCGGAAUUCGUGGUGUAGCGGUGAAAUGCUUAGAUAUCACGAAGAACUCCGAUUGCGAAGGCAGCCUGCUAAGCUGCAACUGACAUUGAGGCUCGAAAGUGUGGGUAUCAAACAGGAUUAGAUACCCUGGUAGUCCACACGGUAAACGAUGAAUACUCGCUGUUUGCGAUAUAC